This 129-nucleotide small RNA is filed under the name Pantoea agglomerans. RNAcentral describes it as "RtT sRNA". It matches the Rfam family "RtT RNA". From Rfam's summary of the family: This family represents a bacterial cis-regulatory element known as RtT RNA. The exact function of RtT is unknown although it is thought that it may be involved in changing the cellular response in relation to amino acid starvation. Lineage: Bacteria; Pseudomonadati; Pseudomonadota; Gammaproteobacteria; Enterobacterales; Erwiniaceae. RNAcentral also lists the same sequence under 1 other name. The record is from RNAcentral.
UCCUGUUCUGCGGGGAGAGGGAUGAGAAACCUUCGAUUAAGGUUCGGGUCGAGCAUCGCGAGACAACGCGCUUCAGCGCGGCCCGCAGGGUGAGGCGCAACGCGCCGAAUAAUCCUUCUCCCACCACCA